AGCGAACGCUGGCGGCAGGCUUAACACAUGCAAGUCGAACGGGCUUCUUCGGAAGUCGGUGGCAGACGGGUGAGUAACACGUUGGAACGUGCCCUUCGGUUCGGAAUAACUCAGGGAAACUUGAGCUAAUACCGGAUACGCCCUUUUGGGGAAAGGUUUACUGCCGAAGGAUCGGCCCGCGUCUGAUUGGCUUGUUGGUGGGGUAACGGCCUACCAAGGCGACGAUCAGUAGCUGGUCUGAGAGGAUGAUCAGCCACACUGGGACUGAGACACGGCCCAGACUCCUACGGGAGGCAGCAGUGGGGAAUAUUGGACAAUGGGCGCAAGCCUGAUCCAGCCAUGCCGCGUGAGUGAUGAAGGCCUUAGGGUUGUAAAGCUCUUUUGUCCGGGACGAUAAUGACGGUACCGGAAGAAUAAGCCCCGGCUAACUUCGUG
This 435-nucleotide ribosomal RNA is filed under the name uncultured bacterium. RNAcentral's name for it is "partial 16S ribosomal RNA". It matches the Rfam family "Bacterial small subunit ribosomal RNA", at positions 29 to 507 of the family's 1533-position model. The record is from RNAcentral.